RNAcentral lists this ribosomal RNA (478 nucleotides) under uncultured bacterium. RNAcentral's name for it is "partial 16S ribosomal RNA". It matches the Rfam family "Bacterial small subunit ribosomal RNA", at positions 28 to 507 of the family's 1533-position model. The record is from RNAcentral.
GAUGAACGCUGGCGGCGUGCCUAACACAUGCAAGUCGAACGGAGUCCAGCCUUUAAGACCUUCGGGUCAAAGAGGGGAAGACUGAGUGGCGGACGGGUGAGUAACACGUGGGCAACCUGGCUCAUAGAGGGGGAUAACAGAGAGAAAUUUCUGCUAAUACCACAUAAGCACACACUGCCGCAUGGCAGAGGGUGAAAAGAGAAUCGCUAUGAGAUGGACCCGCGUCUGAUUAGCCAGUUGGCAGGGUAAGAGCCUACCAAAGCGACGAUCAGUAGCCGAUCUGAGAGGAUGAACGGCCACAUUGGGACUGAGACACGGCCCAAACUCCUACGGGAGGCAGCAGUGGGGGAUAUUGCACAAUGGGGGGAACCCUGAUGCAGCGACGCCGCGUGAGUGAAGAAGUAUUUCGGUAUGUAAAGCUCUAUCAGCAGGGAAGAUAAUGACAGUACCUGAAUAAGAAGCCCCGGCUAACUACGUG